RNAcentral lists this ribosomal RNA (515 nucleotides) under uncultured bacterium. RNAcentral describes it as "partial 16S ribosomal RNA". It matches the Rfam family "Bacterial small subunit ribosomal RNA", at positions 28 to 523 of the family's 1533-position model. The record is from RNAcentral.
GAUGAACGCUGGCGGCGUGCCUAAUACAUGCAAGUCGAGCGAAUGGAUUAAGAGCUUGCUCUUAUGAAGUUAGCGGCGGACGGGUGAGUAACACGUGGGUAACCUGCCCAUAAGACUGGGAUAACUCCGGGAAACCGGGGCUAAUACCGGAUAACAUUUUGAACCGCAUGGUUCGAAAUUGAAAGGCGGCUUCGGCUGUCACUUAUGGAUGGACCCGCAUCGCAUUAGCUAGUUGGUGAGGUAACGGCUCACCAAGGCAACGAUGCGUAGCCGACCUGAGAGGGUGAUCGGCCACAGUGGGACUGAGACACGGCACAGAAUCCUACGGGAGGCAGAAGUAGGGAAUCUUCCGCAAUGGACGAAAGUCUGACGGAGCAACGCCGCGUGAGUGAUGAAGGCUUUCGGGUCGUAAAACUCUGUUGUUAGGGAAGAACAAGUGCUAGUUGAAUAAGCUGGCACCUUGACGGUACCUAACCAGAAAGCCACGGCUAACUACGUGCCAGCCGCCGCAGUAA